This 29-nucleotide non-coding RNA is filed under the name Rattus norvegicus (Norway rat). The record is from RNAcentral. Lineage: Eukaryota; Metazoa; Chordata; Mammalia; Rodentia; Muridae.
UACUAAAAUAUAAGUGCUGUUGGUGUUGC